CGAGAAAGCGUUGCCGUAGGCAACGACCCGAAGGGCGAAGCGCGCAGCGCUGAGUAAUCCUUCCCCCGUCAUCC
RNAcentral lists this small RNA (74 nucleotides) under Salmonella enterica. RNAcentral describes it as "partial RtT sRNA". It matches the Rfam family "RtT RNA", at positions 58 to 130 of the family's 130-position model. Rfam says of the family: This family represents a bacterial cis-regulatory element known as RtT RNA. The exact function of RtT is unknown although it is thought that it may be involved in changing the cellular response in relation to amino acid starvation. RNAcentral also lists the same sequence under 3 other names. The record is from RNAcentral. Lineage: Bacteria; Pseudomonadati; Pseudomonadota; Gammaproteobacteria; Enterobacterales; Enterobacteriaceae.